This 859-nucleotide ribosomal RNA is filed under the name Amanita subjunquillea. Its description in RNAcentral is "eukaryotic LSU rRNA". It matches the Rfam family "Eukaryotic large subunit ribosomal RNA", at positions 82 to 918 of the family's 3401-position model. Lineage: Eukaryota; Fungi; Basidiomycota; Agaricomycetes; Agaricales; Amanitaceae. The record is from RNAcentral.
AGUAACUGCGAGUGAAGCGGGAAAAGCUCAAAUUUAAAAUCUGGCAGAUGUUUGUCUGUCCGAGUUGUAACCUAGAGAAGUGUAACCUGUGCUGGACCAUGUACAAGUCUCCUGGAAUGGAGCAUCAUAGAGGGUGAGAAUCCCGUCUUUGACAUGGACUACCAGUGCACUGUGGUUGUGCACUCAACGAGUCGAGUUGUUUGGGAAUGCAGCUCUAAAUGGGUGGUAAAUUCCAUCUAAAGCUAAAUAUUGGCGAGAGACCGAUAGCGAACAAGUACCGUGAGGGAAAGAUGAAAAGAACUUUGGAAAGAGAGUUAAACAGUAUGUGAAAUUGUUGAAAGGGAAACACUUGAAGUCAGCUGCAUUGGCUGGGGAUCAAGCCAGCUUAUUUGCUGGGUGUACUUCCUGGUUGAUGGGCCAACAUCAGUUUUGACCAUCAGAGAAAGGCUAAGGGAAUGUGGCACCUUUAUAGGUGUGUUAUAGCCCUUGGUUGUAUGUGGUGGAUGGGACUGAGGAUAGCAGCGUGCCGCAAGGCCGGGCCGUUUCGACCACGUUCACGCUUUGGAUGUUGGCAUAAUGGCUUUAAGUGACCCGUCUUGAAACACGGACCAAGGAGUCUAACAUGCAUGCAAGUGUUUGGGUGGAAAACUCAAGCGCGUAAUGAAAGUGAAAGUUGAGAUCCCUCUCACAGGGGAGCAUCGACGCCCGGACCAGAACUUUUGGGACGGAUCUGCGGUAGAGCAAGCAUGUUGGGACCCGAAAGAUGGUGAACUAUGCCUGAAUAGGGUGAAGCCAGAGGAAACUCUGGUGGAGGCUCGUAGCGAUUCUGACGUGCAAAUCGAUCGUCGAAUUUGGGUAU